GUUAAGCGACUAAGCGUACACGGUGGAUGCCCUGGCAGUCAGAGGCGAUGAAGGACGUGCUAAUCUGCGAUAAGCGUCGGUAAGGUGAUAUGAACCGUUAUAACCGGCGAUUUCCGAAUGGGGAAACCCAGUGUGUUUCGACACACUAUCAUUAACUGAAUCCAUAGGUUAAUGAGGCGAACCGGGGGAACUGAAACAUCUAAGUACCCCGAGGAAAAGAAAUCAACCGAGAUUCCCCCAGUAGCGGCGAGCGAACGGGGAGCAGCCCAGAGCCUGAAUCAGUGUGUGUGUUAGUGGAAGCGUCUGGAAAGGCGCGCGAUACAGGGUGACAGCCCCGUACACAAAAAUGCACAUGCUGUGAGCUCGAUGAGUAGGGCGGGACACGUGGUAUCCUGUCUGAAUAUGGGGGGACCAUCCUCCAAGGCUAAAUACUCCUGACUGACCGAUAGUGAACCAGUACCGUGAG
RNAcentral lists this ribosomal RNA (466 nucleotides) under Escherichia coli. Its description in RNAcentral is "partial 23S ribosomal RNA". It matches the Rfam family "Bacterial large subunit ribosomal RNA", at positions 1 to 507 of the family's 2925-position model. Lineage: Bacteria; Pseudomonadati; Pseudomonadota; Gammaproteobacteria; Enterobacterales; Enterobacteriaceae. The record is from RNAcentral.